This 440-nucleotide ribosomal RNA is filed under the name uncultured bacterium. RNAcentral describes it as "partial 16S ribosomal RNA". It matches the Rfam family "Bacterial small subunit ribosomal RNA", at positions 339 to 795 of the family's 1533-position model. The record is from RNAcentral.
CUACGGGCUGCACCAGUAGGGAAUAUUGGACAGUGGGCGAAAGCCUGAUCCAGCAACACCGCGUGCACGAUGACGGCCUUCGGGUUGUAAAGUGCUUUUAGAGGAGAUGAGAAAGGACAGUAUCCUCUGAAUAAGCCUCGGCGAACUACGUGCCAGCAGCCGCGGUAAAACGUAGGAGGCAAGCGUUAUCCGGAUUUAUUGGGCGUAAAGCGCGUGCAGGCGGUCUAGCAAGUUGGAUGUGAAAGCUCCCGGCUCAACUGGGAGAGGUCGUUCAAUACUGUUAGACUAGAGAAUAGGAGAGGGAGGUGGAAUUCCGGGUGUAGUGGUGAAAUGCGUAGAUAUCCGGAGGAACACCAGUGGCGAAAGCGGCCUCCUGGACUAUUUCUGACGCUAAGACGCGAAAGCUAGGGUAGCAAACGGGAUUAGAUACCCUUGUAGUC